GACGAACGCUGGCGGCGUGCCUAAUACAUGCAAGUAGAACGCUGAAGGAGGAGCUUGCUUCUCUGGAUGAGUUGCGAACGGGUGAGUAACGCGUAGGUAACCUGCCUGGUAGCGGGGGAUAACUCUUGGAAACGAUAGCUAAUACCGCAUAAUAGUAGAUGUUGCAUGACAUUUGCCUAAAAGAUGCAAUUUCAUCACUACCAGAUGGACCUGCGUUGUAUUAGCUAGUUGGUGGGGUAAAGGCUCACCAAGGCGACGAUACAGAGCCGACCUGGGAGGGGGAUCGGCCACACUGGGAAUGAGACAACGGCCAGACUCCUACGGGAGGGAGCAGUAGGGAAUCUUCGGGAAUGGACGGAAGGCUGACCGAGCAAAGGCGGGGGAAUGAAGAAGGUUUUCGGAUCGUAAAGCUCUGGUGUAAGGGAAGAACGAAUGUGAGAGUUGAAAGUUCACGCUGUGACGGUAUCUAACCAGAAAGGGACGGCUAACUACGUG
This 495-nucleotide ribosomal RNA is filed under the name uncultured bacterium. RNAcentral describes it as "partial 16S ribosomal RNA". It matches the Rfam family "Bacterial small subunit ribosomal RNA", at positions 28 to 507 of the family's 1533-position model. The record is from RNAcentral.